CCUUCUCCCCACAUCCUCGCCAGUGGCUCAGUCUUUCCGUUUCUAACCCAGGGGUGUUUCCAUGGUGAAAGCAGAAGAUGAGAGAGGUGGGUGAGCCGUGGGGUGAGGAGAGUUCUCUGCCGGAAGGAAACACAAGGGUGCUACACGGAACAGAGAGAGGAAUGGCAAAGCCAAUGGAGAAAAGCUCAGAAUAGAGCUCGUAAAAGGAUUUGAAGGCGAUAUCAGCACAGAAUCCCCCACUUCAGAACAAGAGGAGGAGGAGGAUGCAUGGUAUUUCAUGGGGUUGAGGCCGAGUUCUCCAACUCAGACCUGGUGGAGUUAAGCAAAUCACUUCAGCAACAAAAUACACCACUGCUUUGUAAGUUUCAUUUUUCUUUUUUGGGGGGCAGGGGGCAAUACCAGGGGGGAUUGAACUCAGGGACCCUCGACCACUGAGCCACAUCCCCAGCCCUAUUUUGUAUCUUAUUUAGAGACAGGGUCUCACUGAGCUGCUUAGUGCCUCGCUCUUGCUGAGGCUGGCUUUGAACUCUCGAUCCUCCUGCCUCAGCCUCCUGCGAGCACUGGGAUGACAGGAGUGCUCCACAGCACCAGCUUCAUUCUUUCUUUAAAAUAUGCCAACUACAUGUUAAUAAUUCAUUUGUUAUUUUUGUCCUUUACAUUUUCAUAAAAUCAAAUGGGGUUUUUCUGUAGUAAGUACCUUAGUCAUCGACACCAAAGGGAAGGCCGAGGACAAAAGGGGCACAGUGACUUUUCCAAAUUGCCAUCCUGGUCGGUCAUAUAUAUAUAUAUAUAUAUAUUUUAAGUGAUUUUCAUGAAAUGUUCGUCUUCAUCACCUCUGGGUGUGGGUAGUAUUGAGAGUAUCAUGAAAUGCACCAGAGACGGUGAGCAGUUCAGAAAGCUGGAACCACUGCUUUAUUGAGAGCAGGCCCUUGCUGUAUGUGCAAACUCAAGCCUAUUCAAUGAUUAGAUCUCGUAAUCAGGAAAACCUAAGAGAAAAGGGAACUUUAGAAGGUCAUGAUGCUCCGGUUCUCAUCAUUACACGGCCACUCUGCACACAUCCAUGUCUUUAUCCGAGUUGACCAUAUGCACCUGAUGUGGGCUUUGCAACAGAGAAGUGAAUAGGAACCACUGUAGUGUGUAAGGGUGUGCAUGCCACAGGGUACGUAGGCGAUUUCUUUUGGGUUUGUUAUUCUUAUAUCAGGAAAAUAUACCCAGCAUGUUCAGAUGGUGACGGAAGAGGGGAAUGAACAGUUGAAGUUUAGGAAAUGCCAAAAUAUCGAGUUAGAGGAGUCAAGGAAAUUGGAGUCACAUGCCAGGAAUUGUGUCCCCUCCACCAUAAUAGAGAGGCUGUAGCUCCUCUUUCUCCCUUCAUAGACUCUCUGGGACAUUCCUGGCCACAGAAUUCCAGAGGAAUUCAAUUUUCUCUUUUUUUUCUUUCCCACUGAGCACCCACCACAAGAGUCUUGGCUGCCUCGUGUUCUGCUCCUCUGCUUUCCGAGGGUUCAUGGAGAAGGUCCUCUCAGAGUUCCUGACCACAGAUGCCGCCUCAACAUCCCAUGAGGUUUAAAAAAAAAAAAAUCAUCAGGACAAUGGAGCCCUUCCCUAUUUUAUUUUUCAAUAGAUCUGAAUGGGACAGUUACCCAGGAUAACCAUUUCACUCUGUCAGUCUCUGCCAGAAAUUCUAGACAGAAAUACACCAGCUUCAAAGGACCUAGGUGCCACUCCCCAGAGGAAGCUAUGGCCAGCCUGUCCAACCGCCUUACACCACAGGGCAAGCAGGUCCAGUUGGACAAUUGUGCACAUAUGGGGACUCACAAAUGUCCACCCUGGGAAAAUACCCUAUUUGUUAGGAAACUUAUUCCACAUAUCUUUGUCUUGCUGGCACUUGGGGGGAAGUCACGCUGUGCAUAUUGUAAGCCAGUAACAGCAACACAUCCGCAUCUAGCCCCGUGAUAUAUGGUAUAAUUAGAAUUGCAAUGCACCUGAUAGAACCUGAAAUGUUGUCGAGUCUGUAGGAUAACAAAACAAGUGAAGAAUCAUUCAUACAUCGUCAUGUCAAAAAAUAAACUUUCUACCUGUGCCAAUGUCACUAACUGUGAUGGUUAGCUUCAUGUGUUGGUGUAGCUAAAAAUCCAGUUAUUUAAACAAACACAGGUCCAGGUAUUGAUGGGAAAUUAUUUUGUAGGCACGGUUAACUUUUACAGCCAGUUGAUUCUAAGCAAUGGAAAUGACUAUGGAUAAUGUGAGCAGAUCUCAUCCAAUCAGAUGAAAGCCCUUCAAGCAAAAAAAAAAAAAAAAAAAAAAAAAAUCCCUGAAGUUUCCUGGAGAAGAAUUUUCCAUGAGACCAGCAUCAAUUGCUACUUGAAUCCACAGCCUUCCAGGGCCAUCCUACGAAGUUCAAGCUUGCCGGCACCCACCUUUGCAUGAAACAAUUCCUUAAACUAAAUCUCUUAAUGGUCUUAAUGCUAUACAUGCAUAUCCUAUUGGUGCUGUUUCUCUGGAUAGCCCUGAAUGUUAUGCUGCAUCUCGCUAAAAAUAAUUCAGGAUCUCAUAGAUGCAAGUCAGACCUGACUGACGGGCUUGUUGCUGCCAAAGAAAAGCAGUCCUAUUCACCUCACUCUCAGACCUGGUCCUCCAAGUAGAGAUCUGCAGUGCUCACACUCAACUCCAGGUGGCGCUCUUGUUCUACGGGAAAGAGUCAGGCUCUAUGGUUGCUGGACACACCCCAGCCUCGUUCCCUGAUUUCUAGGCCUUUCAAUGACUCAGCAAUGGGAGAGAGGAAGUACAAAAUUAAGACAGCAGAAACUCCCAGCGUGCCCAAUGUACAGAAGCUAACCAACAGAAAAUUCAAUUUGGG
This 2857-nucleotide long non-coding RNA is filed under the name Marmota monax (woodchuck). The record is from RNAcentral. Lineage: Eukaryota; Metazoa; Chordata; Mammalia; Rodentia; Sciuridae.